Molecule: ribosomal RNA, 916 nt
Filed under: Mycoplasmoides alvi
Lineage: Bacteria; Bacillati; Mycoplasmatota; Mycoplasmoidales; Mycoplasmoidaceae
Description: bacterial LSU rRNA
Rfam family: Bacterial large subunit ribosomal RNA (bases 425-916)
Source: RNAcentral
CGCCCGUCAAACUAUGAGAGCUGGUAAUAUCUAAAACCGUGUUGCUAACCGUAAGGAAGCGCAUGUCUAGGGUAGGACUGGUGAUUGGAGUUAAGUCGUAACAAGGUACCCCUACGAGAACGUGGGGGUGGAUCACCUCCUUUCUACGGAGUAUAAACAAGUUUUAUACACCAUUUUAUUAGGUGUUAAUAUAUUAAAAUCCAAAUUAAACAUUCAACCCAUCGCAAAGCAAUUUGAUGUAAAUGUUUUUUUGGUCAUGAUUUUAUCCAGUUUUGAGAGAAGUUAUCUCUCCUAUUGUUUUUCUUUAAGUAAAGUUAAAUAAUAGAGAUGGUUCUUUGAAAACUGAAUACAACAAAUCUUUCUAGUUCUAGUAUGGUAAUGUAAAAAAUUACUGUAUUAAUACCAAAAUGCUAAUGGAUAUCAAAAAUAAGUUACUAAGGGCUUAUGGUGGAUGCCUUGGCACUGACAGGCGAUGAAGGACGUGCGAACCUGCGAAAAGUUACGGGAAGUCGGUUAGAGACGCUAAUCCGUAAAUAUCCGAAUGGGGGAACCCAGAAUAUUGAGAAAUAUUCUAUUUAACUUUGAAUUCAUAGAGGUUAAAAGCGACACGUUGCGAAGUGAAACAUCUCAGUAGCAACAGGAAAAGAAAACGAAAGUGAUUCCGUGUGUAGUGGCGAGCGAAAGCGGAAUAGGCCAAACCAGAAGCAAUUCUGGGGUUGUAGGACUACAAUAUAUGGACUUUAGAUUGAUAGGAGAAAUGGUUGGGAAGCCAUGCAAAAUAGGGUGAUAGCCCCGUAUCCGAAAUUAAUUUAAUACCUAAGUAGAAUCCUGAGUACGUCGGAAAAUGUUAUUUUGACGGAAUCUGCCCAAACCAUUGGGUAAGCCUAAAUACUAGUCAGUGACCGAUAGUGAACAA